RNAcentral lists this ribosomal RNA (322 nucleotides) under uncultured Comamonadaceae bacterium. RNAcentral describes it as "bacterial SSU rRNA". It matches the Rfam family "Bacterial small subunit ribosomal RNA", at positions 1199 to 1519 of the family's 1533-position model. Lineage: Bacteria; Pseudomonadati; Pseudomonadota; Betaproteobacteria; Burkholderiales; Comamonadaceae. The record is from RNAcentral.
CCCUUAUGGUUAGGGGCUACACACGUCAUACAAUGGCCGGUACAGAGGGCUGCCAACCCGCGAGGGGGAGCCAAUCCCAGAAAACCGGUCGUAGUCCGGAUCGCAGUCUGCAACUCGACUGCGUGAAGUCGGAAUCGCUAGUAAUCGCGGAUCAGCUUGCCGCGGUGAAUACGUUCCCGGGUCUUGUACACACCGCCCGUCACACCAUGGGAGCGGGUUCUGCCAGAAGUAGUUAGCCUAACCGCAAGGAGGGCGAUUACCACGGCAGGGUUCGUGACUGGGGUGAAGUCGUAACAAGGUAGCCGUAUCGGAAGGUGCGGCU